RNAcentral lists this ribosomal RNA (489 nucleotides) under uncultured bacterium. Its description in RNAcentral is "partial 16S ribosomal RNA". It matches the Rfam family "Bacterial small subunit ribosomal RNA", at positions 28 to 506 of the family's 1533-position model. The record is from RNAcentral.
GAUGAACGCUAGCGAUAGGCUUAACACAUGCAAGUCGAGGGGCAGCAUGGUCUUAGCUUGCUAAGACUGAUGGCGACCGGCGCACGGGUGCGUAACGCGUAUGCAACUUGCCUCACAGAGGGGGAUAACCCGUCGAAAGACGGACUAAUACCGCGUACACUUGGGAUAGGGCAUCCUGACCCAAGGAAAUGAAAUUCGCUGUGAGAUAGGCAUGCGUCCCAUUAGCUAGUUGGUGAGGUAACGGCUCACCAAGGCGACGAUGGGUAGGGGAACUGAGAGGUUGAACCCCCCCACUGGUACUGAGACACGGACCAGACUCCUACGGGAGGCAGCAGUGAGGAAUAUUGGUCAAUGGGCGAGAGCCUGAACCAGCCAAGUCGCGUGAAGGAUGACUGUCUUAUGGAUUGUAAACUUCUUUUAUACGGGAAUAACAAGAGCCACGUGUGGCUCCCUGCAUGUACCGUAUGAAUAAGCAUCGGCUAACUCCGU